UUAAGGUCGGCGGGAAAGCCGGAGCUCUCGGAGACUCCGUCACCGUCGUGCGUGAGAAGAGCAAGAUCACUGUCACCUCCGACAGUACCUUCUCCAAGAGGUAGUCUCACUUUUCGCCAAUUACUAAUCUUUUCGAAUCGAUUCAUGCGCAUUUAUGCUUCGGGGCUGUGAAUAUUUUGGAUUUGUUUUUUGUGUGGAAUUUAAUUAGAUGAUUUGAAUAGUUUAUGCGAUGUAGUUUGAAUCCUUCGAUUUUCACACUGAUAAGUGAUGCAACUUGUCAGAAAUGUAUUGUUAGUUAGCUUACCUUUGCGGACUUUGUUUGUGAUAACAACUUAGAAUUACGGUUGUUGUGUGAUUGUGCUGUUUCCGUGUAUGAUUCUUUUGCUAGCAUGACUCUGUAAUAUGGUUAUAAAAUGCAUUGGUUUUAAAUUACUUGUAUUUUUUAUUUUUUUUUUUGUGCAACAUUCUUGUAGAGUGAACAUGCAAACAAAGAAGUGUGUCUAUUGUAACUAUGUAAAUGUAAAAGAAUCUAACAGAUUGCCGAUAGUUUCAGGUCUUGGACUCUAGUCUUGGAUUUAGGGUUGUAUUAUGAGCUGCAUACCUGUAUUGUUUUCUACUAUGUUGUCAUGGUUUGAAACUGAGUUAGUGUGUUUUGGAAUUUUUCCUCCGCUGGUAUAUAUCUCUAGGAAUUUACAAUUUGUUAGAUAUAUUUGAAGUUGCUGUUUUUUGCUUCCUGUUUAAAAUUGAGUCCUGAAGUUAAUAAACAUCUUGCUCCUUUUCUUUUAUGCUCCAUAGGUAUUUGAAAUACUUGACAAAGAAGUACCUGAAGAAGAACAAUGUGAGGGAUUGGUUGAGGGUUAUUGCCUCCAACAAAGACCGAAAUGUUUACGAGUUGCGAUACUUUAACAUUGCUGAAAACGAAGGAGAAGAGGAGGAUUAAAUUGUUUGAUUUGGUUCUGUUGUCUCUCUCUUUUUUUUGAUGUAGAAGCCUCCUUUCUUGAUUUCUCUUGUUUGAAUGAUUACUAGAUGGAAUCUAUAUAUGUUCUUGGAUACCUUGCAACAUUGUUUACUAAUGAGGAACUACUUUACAUAUUUGUUAUUACAUGUGUUGAAUUCUUGGGAAGAUCAUAGGUAUCCUGUUGCUUGACUGACUAUGGCAGGUUUAUGAUGGUUUUAGUUCAUCACUUUUGCAUUUAGCAUCAAUUUGGUUAUUUAGUUCUCAACCCUUGUAUAACUUACUACCAAAAAGAUUUUGUCUCUGAAAGAUUUAGCCGGGUAAUUGGAGCCCUGGAGGUUUUCAACAAAUAAUCAGCAACUCCUGAGCUCAUUCAGCAAGAAUAAGGAUUCUGGGAGAUUGAUAUUAGUAAUUAAUUAGUGUGGAUAGUUAUAUCCAUAGUUGUCAUGUCGGUCGACUAGUCGCGACUAGUCGACCAAGCGGCACUAAGCGGUGAAUGGAUGUCGACUCAACAUGUCGACUAGGUGAAUGUUGAUAUUUUGGUCGCUUGGUCGACUAAGCGGUCGACUAGUCGUUGACUAGUCGACUAGUCGAGUUUGGACCACCGACUAGUCGACUGUUUUUUUGCAAUUCACUAGUCGACUAGUCGAGUUUGGACCACGGACUAGUCGACUGAUUUCUUGCAAUUUGCAUUAUGCAUGAUCAAUUUUGCAUAAAUUUUGUUAUUUGUUUACUGUACUGCCACAUCACAUCAGUAUCACAUAAUUGAUAUUUAUCGAUUGUUAGCUUUUUUUUUUUUUGAGAAAAUAUCGAUUGUUAGCUUGAUACAUAUUUUACUUGAUCGUGUGUACUUUGCUUUGUUGUUAACUAUUCGCUUUUCCACAUUCUCUUUAGGUGUCUGAUUUUUAAUUCCUUAGAAUCCGGAAUAAAAUUUUAUGGAAGGUACAUAAUACAAAUAUAUGUAUGUGUUUAUAUGUAUAUAAUAAAUUUUUAAUUUAUAAGAAAUAUAUAUUUUUUAGCGACUAGUCCACGACUAGUCUACGGACUAGUCGACUAGCGGGAGGUCUAUCGACUCGCCUCGACUCAUCGACGUGACAACCAUGGUUAUAUCCCAAACAAAUCCUAUCCUAUUGGUCAUUUCCUUAUGAUUUUUUCAUUAUGUGAGACACAUGUUAAAGAUAAUUUUUUGUGGUUUUUUUUUAUUACAAAACACACAAUUUAAGAUAUAGGUUUGUAACUUAUAUUUAGAUUGUAUUUUUAUAUAUAUUUAAAUAUCAAACUUUUGUUUAGUAGAAUUGUUUUUAUAAACAUUUAAAUAUUAUAAUCAUAAAUAAAGAAAAGGUAAAAUAAUUUAUAAAAUUCUAUUUUAUAGAGUAUAAAAAUACUACUCUCUCCGUCCGAUUUAUAUGUAUACAGUUUUCUUUUUGGAUGUCCAACCAAUUGUAUACAUUCCAAAAGUAGUAAAAUUUUACAAUAUACCUUCUUCCAUUAUCUCCAUUCUAUAAAAGCAUGUCCAACAAUGCCCUGUAAUAAUGUCCUAAGUAAAAUUUAAGACAUUUAACAUAAAAAUGUGAUCCAAUAGUGUCCUAGUGGUGCCUUAAAACACCAGGACACACUACAUGUGCCUUAUUUAUAAGGCACUACAACACUUGUCCUAAACUAUUUUAAUCUAUAAAAUAUUUACUCUCUCUCUCUUUUUCACACCUUUUCAUGUUUGGCUUAUAUAUAGUUGUAUUCAAAUAUAUUAAUAUUUUAGUAUUGGGUUUGUCUAGUGUGUGCCCAUGGGCACAUUCUAAGCGCAGAGUUUUAUAAGUUUGGGAGGUUUUGAUUGGUGUGGUUGUUGCAUUUGCAGGGGGUCCACCAUUAUUAACAUGCAAAAGCCAAUCAAAACCUCCCAAAUUUAUAAAACUCCGCGCUUAGCAUGUGCCCAUGGGUACAUACUAGAAAAACCGUUUAGUAUUAUGGCAUGAGGAUAAGGCAUAUUGUUGGAAUAGAUGUAUGUGUAUAGUAUCGUAGAUCACUGGGACAUUAUAUUUUAUUAUAUAUUUAAGACUUCUACUAAGACACUGUUGGACUUGCUCUAAUAAUAUAAACACUAUUACACCCACUGUCUUUCUCCCCUAUCUCAAAUCUAUUAUUAAAUAUAAAUGGGUCCCACCAUUAUACCCAUUUUUUAUCUAACUUUACUCAUUUUUUACAUUUUUUUCUUCGUCUCUGUAUACCAACCAAAUGUAUACAAAUGACCAGGACGGAGGGAGUACUUGUCAAGUCUAUAUAGAGUGAAGAUAAAUGACGUAAGUGACCCCACUUCAUAUAUAUCACUUCUUUUCCACCGCUUGCUCUGUCUCGAAAAAGAUUGAUAUGCUAAAACAUAAUCGAACUGAUCUAAAACUUGUAAUUGUGUUAGUGAACUUAGAAGUCUUGCAUUUAUAUAAUUCAAGAAAAUAAAAUUUGUAUUUAACUAACGGUCAUUAAUAUAAUAAUAGAAUAAAAACUGAACUUGUAACUUAUAAAACUCAACUCAAUCCCAACUUAUAUUUACAUUUUUAAAUUUAUUAAAACUUUUAACUAAGUAUACUGAAAGAAUAAUAAAUUUUCAUAAGUGGUACUCAACAAAAAUUAACUUGCAAUCACUCUAAAUCACUCUCAUCUCUCUUAAUCUCAACCAUUCUCUUAUCUUUUCUCUUUCAAUCUUUUUGAUAUUUACAUAUUUUGAAUUAUAAUAUAAAAAAAUGUUUUUGAUGUUGAAAUUUUAUGAUAACUUCGUGGAGAAGAUGAAAAUCAGCAUCUUCAAAAGUGUGGGCAUCUGCUGUAUGCAACAACAAUAUCAAAAAUAGCCUAAAUCUCUCUCAUCUCUUAAUCUCUCUCCUCUCUAUUCUUUCCUAUACUCUCUCAAUUUCCCUCCUCUCUCAAUAUAUUUCAUAUCUCUCUCUCUCAAUCUAACAAUUUUAUCCCGAAUGCUAUAAUAUAGUUGUAACAUGAUUAUCUUUUUUAUUAGUUUGAUAAGUACAAAAUUGAUUUCAGUUGUUAAUUUUUACAUUAAAAACUAAUUGAGUAUAUAAAUGUAUAUGAAUGAAAAUAUGUUAUAAUUUUAUAAUUUUUAAUUUUGAUUACCCAAUUACAAGUUGAGAAUCAAUUCAGUUAUCCGAUUAUGAGUUUAUAUUAGUUUAGUUAGUUAAUUAUAAGUUUAUAUUAGUUCAACUAGUCGAUGGUUUUUUUUAGUUCAGUAAUCCAAUUGCAUGUUUUGAGUUAGUUCACUAAUAUUUUAACCUAUUAACCCCCUCAAAAAGNAAGAGCGUAAUCUUUUGAGUUUUUUCUCACAAAUUCGAGCUUAGAAAUUUUUCUGAAAGAAUACCGUAAUUUUAAGAAAAAUAUAAAAAAAUAAUUUUUCAAAUAAAAAAUACAAAUAUAUCAUUUCCUAAAUAAUUUUUUCAAAAAUGCGAAGAUUAUUUUUGAAGCCAUAUAUACGAAGAUUUUAAUUGGAUGGUUGUUGUAAACGCAGGGGGUCCAUCAUUAUUAAAGAGCGUAUGCCAAUCAAAAUCAUUCAAAUUCAUACAUUUUAGGGCUUAGUAUGUGCCCAUGACACAUCAUCGAGAAAUCCUUAAUUAGUUAAUUACUUUUAGAUACUAUAAUAAUCAAUUAUAUCCAUUGGCUUAUAAUAGUAUAUUAUAAUUUGAUUAUUUCAUAUAUUAAUUCUCAAAUGUUUUAUUAAAUAUUAUUGAAUUAUGAUUUACUUAAUUUUUUUAUAUUUUCUAAUAUUUUUUUUUAAUCUUAGAUGUAUCUUUUGUUUUUUGAGUAAGAUGUAUCUUUUGUUAAUUCUUAACGGUUUUUCUAUGGUGUGCCCAUGGGCACAUGCUAAGCGCGGAAAAUUUUGUGCUUGGAUCAUUUUGAUUGGCUAUUAUCUCAUGAUAAUGGUGGACCCUCCUGCAAAUACACCAACCACACUAAUCAAAAUCUCUCAAAUACAAAAAUUUCCGCGCUUAGCAUGUGGCCAUGGGCACACACUAGCCAAACCGAAUUCUUAAUUGCUCAUUUGUAUACUAUUUUCCUAAAGUUUGUUGACAUGUCCUUUUUCUUGAGCCCAAAUCGUAUAACUCUCCCAGCCCGGCCCGACCCAGUAAGCUAGAAGAAAAACCCUAAAUAACUAAAGUGAUAUAACCUACUUCGUCCCUUUCACUCGUAUCGAGUUGCAGACGGCCGCUUCACAUUUCCACCAGGUAUUCCAAUCUCUCCACACCUACACACACAAUCUGUAAGUAUAUAUUUGUUAAAAUUGAGCUAACUUGUGCUAAUUGAACGAGCAGAGAAGAGUAAAGAUGAGUAAAGUCACCGGAGGCGCCGGAAAGGGGGGAAAGAAGAAGGGAGCGACGUUCGUGAUCGACUGCGGAAAGCCGGUGGAAGAUAAGAUCAUGGACAUCGCUUCUCUCGAGAAGUUUCUGCAGGAGAGAAUUAAGGUCGGCGGGAAAGCCGGAGCUCUCGGAGACUCCGUCACCGUCGUGCGUGAGAAGAGCAAGAUCACUGUCACCUCCGACAGUACCUUCUCCAAGAGGUAGUCUCAUUUUUCGCCAAUUACUCUUUCUGUAUUGCGUAUUUACGGUUUUCAUGAUGAGAAUGUGUAAAAUGUUGUUGAGACGGUUAAAUUUGGUGUUAGAUGUAGAGUUUACGUGAUUUUUGUUGGUGAUUAGUAGUUUGCUGGUGAUUCAUCGAUUUUAAUUUUUUGCUAGGCUGAUAAGUGAUGCAACUUUUAGAAAACAUGUUAGUGUAUAGUUUAGUUUGUUGCUAUUGGAUGAUCGUUUAUCGUCCUCUAUAUGAACCGGGAUUUGUUUCCGCUAUUUGAUUGUUUGUUUGUUUGUGUUGUUUUUUUUUUCUUGUUAAAGUAGAAGCACUAAAGAAAAUUACUUAUUCAUUCUGCAUAUUAACAUGAAAUACAGGAAAUAGCUUUAUAUAGGCAGCACACCUACUAAUUGACUAAAGAUUUAACAGAACUUAAAGAGUAUCCUAUGACUAAAAAAUUGGAGCUAACAAACUAAUUAAAAAAAUUUCAAAUAACUUUGAAUGAUUCUCAACAAUUUCAGAUAAUAUUAUUGAUCGCAACUUAGAAGAAUAGGUUGCUGUUUGAUUGAUGCGAUUCCCUAUUAUGGUGGUUAUAUAAUGCAUUGGCUCAAAAGUACUUGUAUUUUUGGUUUCUUUUGUGCUAAAUUCUUGUAGAUUGAACACGCAAGUUAAGAUGUGUGUAUCUAUCGAAUACUGUAACCAUGUAAAGAAAGAAUCAAACUGGUUGCAGUUAGUUUCAAGUCCCCGAUUCCCAGUUUUGAAUUUAGGGUUCUAUUAUUAGCUAUUGACCUGCAUUGUUUUCUUUUGAAUGCAAGUGUCUUCUGUUUAAGAGAGGAUUAAACCUCUACUAUGCCCUCUACUAUGCUGUCAUGGUAUGAAACUGAGUUAUUGGAUAGUCAUUACAAUUUGUCACGUAGGUUUUUUGGGUUAAGAGCUAGUGCAAUUAAUUCAUCAUUAUGGUUUGUAACUAAGAGUCCUUGAAGUUAACAAACAUCUAACUUAACUUUUCAUUUUUGCUCUGUAGGUAUUUGAAAUACUUGACAAAGAAGUACCUGAAGAAGAACAAUGUGAGGGAUUGGUUGAGGGUUAUUGCCUCCAACAAAGACCGAAAUGUUUACGAGUUGCGAUACUUUAACAUCGCUGAAAACGAAGGCGAAGAGGAGGAUUAAAUUGUUUGAUUUAGCUCUAUUGUCUUCUUUAUUUUGAUGUAGAAGCCUCC
Molecule: long non-coding RNA, 6728 nt
Filed under: Daucus carota (carrot)
Lineage: Eukaryota; Viridiplantae; Streptophyta; Magnoliopsida; Apiales; Apiaceae
Description: long non-coding RNA (DCAR_LNC000588)
Source: RNAcentral